Molecule: long non-coding RNA, 212 nt
Organism: Salarias fasciatus (jewelled blenny)
Lineage: Eukaryota; Metazoa; Chordata; Actinopteri; Blenniiformes; Blenniidae
Exons: 3
Source: RefSeq, a predicted model, not a curated record
AGGCGAGCGGCCGGCUGCCCGUUCACACCGCCAAAUGAUUUCUGUGUUUUUGUGUCCAAAUGUAAUUGAAAACCAACGGGGAACGCGCGUUCACCGGCGGCGCGUCGGACGCGUUUUUGCGGCGCGUCGGGCCGUUCUGGCGUCGGUGACGUGUUGCGUUUUUGCGGCCGACGCCGAAGUUGGGAAAUCUGAACUUUUGAAGCGGCAUUUUU